RNAcentral lists this ribosomal RNA (460 nucleotides) under uncultured bacterium. RNAcentral's name for it is "partial 16S ribosomal RNA". It matches the Rfam family "Bacterial small subunit ribosomal RNA", at positions 338 to 795 of the family's 1533-position model. The record is from RNAcentral.
CCUACGGGAGACAGCAGUGAGGAAUAUUGGUCAAUGGACGAGAGUCUGAACCAGCCAAGUAGCGUGAAGGAUGACUGCCCUAUGGGUUGUAAACUUCUUUUAUAUGGGAAUAAAAUGUUCCACGUGUGGGAUUUUGUAUGUACCAUAUGAAUAAGGAUCGGCUAACUCCGUGCCAGCAGCCGCGGUAAUACGGAGGAUCCUAGCGUUAUCCGGAUUUAUUGGGUUUAAAGGGAGCGUAGGUGGAUUGUUAAGUCAGUUGUGAAAGUUUGCGGCUCAACCGUAAAAUUGCAGUUGAAACUGGCAGUCUUGAGUACAGUAGAGGUGGGCGGAAUUCGUGGUGUAGCGGUGAAAUGCUUAGAUAUCACGAAGAACUCCGAUUGCGAAGGCAGUUCACUGGACUGCAACUGACACUGAGGCUCGAAAGUGUGGGUAUCAAACAGGAUUAGAUACCCUAGUAGUC